RNAcentral lists this ribosomal RNA (712 nucleotides) under uncultured bacterium. Its description in RNAcentral is "bacterial SSU rRNA". It matches the Rfam family "Bacterial small subunit ribosomal RNA", at positions 31 to 732 of the family's 1533-position model. The record is from RNAcentral.
UGACGCUGGCGGCAUGCCCUACACAUUCAGUCGAACGGUAACAGGUCCUUCGGAUGCUGACGAGUGGCGAACGGGUGAGUAAUACUACGGAACGUGCCCGAUCGUGGGGGAUAACGAAGCGAAAGCUUUGCUAAUACCGCAUAAGAUCUACGGAUGAAAGCAGGGGACCGCAAGGCCUUGCGCGAACGGAGCGGCCGAUGGCAGAUUAGGUAGUUGGUGGGAUAAAAGCUUACCAAGCCGACGAUCUGUAGCUGGUCUGAGAGGACGACCAGCCACACUGGGACUGAGACACGGCCCAGACUCCUACGGGAGGCAGCAGUGGGGAAUUUUGGACAAUGGGCGAAAGCCUGAUCCAGCCAUGCCGCGUGCAGGAUGAAGGCCUUCGGGUUGUAAACUGCUUUUGUACGGAACGAAAAGACUCUGGUUAAUACCUGGGGUCCAUGACGGUACCGUAAGAAUAAGCACCGGCUAACUACGUGCCAGCAGCCGCGGUAAUACGUAGGGUGCAAGCGUUAAUCGGAAUUACUGGGCGUAAAGCGUGCGCAGGCGGUUAUAUAAGACAGAUGUGAAAUCCCCGGGCUCAACCUGGGAACUGCAUUUGUGACUGUAUAGCUAGAGUACGGCAGAGGGGGGAUGGAAUUCCGCGUUGUAGCAGUGAAAAUGCGUAGAAUUUGCGGAAGGAACAACCGAAUUGGCGAAGGCAAUCCCCUGU